AGCAGUCGCCGCGGUAAGACAGAGGAUGCAAGCGUUAUCCGGAAUGAUUGGGCGUAAAGCGUCUGUAGGUGGCUUUUCAAGUCCGCCGCCAAAUCCCAGGGCUCAACCCUGGACAGGCGGUGGAAACUACCAAGCUGGAGUACGGUAGGGGCAGAGGGAAUUUCCAGUGGAGCGGUGAAAUGCGUUGAGAUCGAAAAGAACACCAACAGCGAAAGCACUCUGCUGGGACGACACUGACACUAAGAGACGAAAGCUAGGGGAGCAAAUGGGAUUAGAGACCCCCGUAGUCCCUGUCUCUUAUAC
This 303-nucleotide ribosomal RNA is filed under the name uncultured bacterium. RNAcentral's name for it is "partial 16S ribosomal RNA". It matches the Rfam family "Bacterial small subunit ribosomal RNA", at positions 507 to 807 of the family's 1533-position model. The record is from RNAcentral.